AAGUCACCCAGUAAAAUAUUACUUGAGUAAGUCUAAAAGUAUUUGUUUCUAAAGUAUCAAAAGUCAAAGUAUAAAUCGUUUCUAAUUACUUAUAUUAAGCAAACCAGACAGAAAAAUGUUCUUGUUUUUAUUUAUUUAUUUAUCGAUUUCCAGGGGCACACUCCAACACUCAGACAUUAUUUACAAAGGAAGCAUUUGUGUUUAGUGAGUUCGCCAGAUCAGAGGCAAUAGGGAUGACCAGGGGUAUUUUCUUGAUAAGUACGUCAAUUGGACCAUUACAUUGAAACAGCUUUAAUAACUUUUAUAUGAGACACCUUUUAUUAUUAAUAUUAUCCUCGAUUAUCAUGUAUGGCUUGAUGAUGACUAAGUAGAACAAAAGUCACAUUUUAUAUUCCAAUAAAUAAUGAACCAACGCUAUACUUAGUCAAAUGUGUAUUUUAUUAAAGAAGAAUACAGUUGGUAUAACGGUCUACAUACCUAUUGAGGUGUUGUUUGGGCACAUGCAGCUUAUAAUGUCAUUACUGACCCAGUAAUCAGAUGUAGCUCUACUUUGAUCACACAGACCUUACACUGAGAACUGGGUGAGCAGUGGACAUCUUGGUGUGAGUGACCCAUGUUGAGUCCAGAUCCAUCUUGAAGAUGACCACAAUGGAAACAAACCUACCUGCUGGUUUGUGUGGACCUGUCUCCACUGAACCCCUCGUUUGGUGCCUCUCAGCAGCACUGCCUAUCGCUCCACAUCCUUCCUGCUUCACUAGACCCUGAAUUCUAAGAAUCAGAUGAAAAAGGUUACUUCCUUGGUUGCAGAAGAGAGUAGUUUAAACAUUGAGUUGCCUUAUGUUUGUGAUGUCAGGGAGGACAGGUUCCUUUGGGUCGCCUUAAAAAGUGUGUGUGACAGAGGAGGGGACAGCUGUCACAUUCGAUCAAAUUUCCCCUGGGUCUCUCCCGGCACCUGGAUGGGAAUCAUGAAUUAGUCACUUUUUAGGUACUGUCCCUACAGCCAAUUCUUACAGCUCUUUGACGCACUCUUACGCUCAAUAUUUACAUAACUUGUGUGUCGUUAUCAGUAUAAUAACAACAUUUUCUUUCAAACAUUAGCAGGAUUAAUAUUUCUGUCAAGAUAAGAGAACAGUAUUUAAUUUGACAUCUACGGAUUGUGUAUGACUUCUGAUUUUAGUGCUUUUUCAAAAUGAUCUUCUGUCUUUUUAUUCCAUAUGAACAGCAUAAAACAGAAAAUGUAUCAUGCUAGCGAAAGUUUUCCUUUUGUUUUCUGACCUCUCUUGCAACUACGGUGUCAGAGCCAUGUUAAAAAUAAAAAGAGGAUUUGGUCAUAUGA
Salmo salar (Atlantic salmon) is the source of this 1336-nucleotide non-coding RNA. Lineage: Eukaryota; Metazoa; Chordata; Actinopteri; Salmoniformes; Salmonidae. The record is from RefSeq and is a predicted model, not a curated record.